RNAcentral lists this ribosomal RNA (350 nucleotides) under Galeommatoidea sp. MN7641. Its description in RNAcentral is "partial 16S ribosomal RNA". It matches the Rfam family "Archaeal large subunit ribosomal RNA", at positions 1985 to 2584 of the family's 2987-position model. Lineage: Eukaryota; Metazoa; Mollusca; Bivalvia; Galeommatida. The record is from RNAcentral.
CCCGGUGAAGUUUAAACGGCCGCAGUUAGGAGCUGUGCUAAGGUAGCGUAGUAAGUUGUCCUUUAAAUGGGGAAAGGAAUGAAUGGUUUGACGUGAGGGUAUCUGUCUCUAGAAAAGUUGAAAAAAUUUUCUUCCUGGUGAAAAGCCCGGGAUAACAUUAAAAGACGAGAAGACCCUUUCGAGCUUGAUUAAGUUUUAUAAAUUUUUGAAAACGGAAGUUUGGUUGGGGCAACUUAGGAGCAAGAAAAGACUCCUUGAUGAUAACAGAGAUCCAAGUUUCUUGAGAAAAGGAAAAAGCUACCGUAGGGAUAACAGCGUUAUCUUCUCUGAGAGAACAAAUUGAAGGGGGG